Talpa occidentalis (Iberian mole) is the source of this 626-nucleotide long non-coding RNA. RefSeq lists it as uncharacterized. NCBI's taxonomy places the organism in Eukaryota, Metazoa, Chordata, Mammalia, Eulipotyphla, Talpidae. The transcript has 3 exons. The record is from RefSeq and is a predicted model, not a curated record.
CCUGACUUACUGUGCAGCAGGAGGUGAGAGACCACUGCUGCUGUGGGCUCCCACCACUGAGGCAGCUCCUGCCGCUGAGGCAGCUGGGUUCUGGUAACAGUAAUACAAGCUUUUAGAAUGGAAAGACACAACAGAAAACAGGUUCACUAUCCUCUAUAAUCUUUUUACAAGAAGUGUAAUAAAAUAUCAUCCUUAGAGUGGCUGCCUGGAAAGCACCACAUACCGAAGAUCAUAUCUAAAAGGGACCAUAGGAAAAAGACUGGCAAGCAAUCAAGAGAUUUUUUUUGACAGCUGAGAAGACAGAUGUGAGCAUAAAAACUCCGGUCGAGCUAGAUACAACAGUGUAGUUCGGUUUGGAACAAUGAAAUGUGAGUAAAAUGUUCCUGAGCAAUUUCUUGGCUUUCUCAAACAUGAAAAGAAAAAGACCUCUUUCCUUGGUCUUUGACAGUUUUUCCCUUUCCACGGCCUGACACAUAAAUGUCAUAAUUGCCCACUUUCCGCCACAUGGAUGAAUACUGGUUUUUACAGCAACAAAGUGAAGGAAUUUGAGACCCCAGAUAAAAUUAUGGGCAAGAUUGUCCUGCCAUCUUUGAAGAAGUAGACUGCUAUAUUAUCAAAAUAAACUA